This 457-nucleotide ribosomal RNA is filed under the name uncultured bacterium. RNAcentral describes it as "bacterial SSU rRNA". It matches the Rfam family "Bacterial small subunit ribosomal RNA", at positions 340 to 786 of the family's 1533-position model. The record is from RNAcentral.
UACGGAAGGCAGCAGUGGGGAAUAUUGCACAAUGGGCGAAAGCCUGAUGCAGCUAUGCCGCGUGUAUGAAGAAGGCCUUAGGGUUGUAAAGUACUUUCAUCGGGGAGGAAAAAACAAAACUAAUAAUUUUAUUUCUUGACGUUACCCGAAAAAGAAGCACCGGCUAACUCCGUGCCAGCAGCCGCGGUAAUACGGAGGGUGCUAGCAUUAAUCAGAAUUACUGGGCGUAAAGAGCACGUAGGUGGUUUUUUUAAGUUCAGAUGUGAAAUCCCUGGGCUUAACCUGGAACUGCAUUUUGAAACUGAAAUACUAGAGUAUCGUAGAGGGAGGUAGAAUUCUAGGUGUAGCGGUGAAAUGCGUAGAUAUCUGGAGGAAUACCUGUGGCGAAAGCGGGCCUCCUAAACGAAUACUGACACUGAGGUGCGAAAGCGUGGGGAGCAAACGAGGAUUAGAUACC